UGACUUCGUGUUCAGCCUGAAGGCUGCUGGAAUCAGCUGGAAACUGUCCGACUUGACAGUGACUUUUUGUCACCGUCCCCGGCUGCUGCCGCCUGCUCUCGUUUACUUUACAGGCGAGGAGCAGUUCAUCUCCAAUGAGCCUUUUAUGUAAUGUUUUCUCCCUGCACA
Sander lucioperca (pikeperch) is the source of this 168-nucleotide long non-coding RNA. RefSeq lists it as uncharacterized. The record is from RefSeq and is a predicted model, not a curated record. The transcript is spliced from 3 exons. Lineage: Eukaryota; Metazoa; Chordata; Actinopteri; Perciformes; Percidae.